This 72-nucleotide transfer RNA is filed under the name Nippostrongylus brasiliensis. It matches the Rfam family "tRNA". Rfam says of the family: Transfer RNA (tRNA) molecules are approximately 80 nucleotides in length. Lineage: Eukaryota; Metazoa; Nematoda; Chromadorea; Rhabditida; Heligmosomidae. The record is from Rfam by way of RNAcentral.
GUCUCAGUAGCAUAGUGCUUAGUGCACAGCCCCGGAUAGGUUGAGACGCGGGUUCGAUUCCAGCUUGAGAUG